Molecule: ribosomal RNA, 254 nt
Filed under: uncultured bacterium
Lineage: Bacteria
Description: partial 16S ribosomal RNA
Rfam family: Bacterial small subunit ribosomal RNA
Source: RNAcentral
UACGGGGGGGAGCAAGCGUUGUUCGGAUUUACUGGGCGUAAAGGGCGCGUAGGCGGCGUGACAAGUCACUUGUGAAAUCUCCGGGCUUAACUCGGAACGGUCAACUGAUACUGCGGGGCUAGAGUGCGGAAGGGGCAACUGGAAUUCUCGGUGUAGCGGUGAAAUGCGUAGAUAUCGAGAGGAACACCCGUGGCGAAGGCGGCUCUCUGGGACGGUACUGACGCUGAGACGCGAAAGCGUGGGGAGCGAACAGG